UUUCCCCCGUUUGUUUUUCUCCUUUCUCAGCAGCCCGCCCUGCCGCCGCGCCAGGGAGAGCAGCCGCCCCGAUGCCCGAAGGUGCCGCCGGCCGCUCGCCCGGGGGGACGGCGGCGUGCCCCGCUGUCCCCGCACACACCGGUGUGUGCUUCUUCCUCACAGGGAAGAAGCCCCCAGCCCCUGGACAGGUCUGUCCGCGGCUCCGCGGCCACAAGGGAUGAGAUUGGAAAGUAAGCUGGGAAGGCAGAAGCAGAUUGUACUUCCUACAUUGAGAAACAUGGAUAGACUCAUCCUAUACACAACUGACAGAGGAUAGAGGCUGGGGAAACAGCUGAUUGUGAGUUUAUCUGGAAUUAACAGAAUUGUCUUUAGAGGCAGAGGGCCCAGAACAUGUUCUGGCAAAGGAAAAGGGAGAGAAAAAGACUUAAAUUCUUAGAGUGUGUGGAUACAUUCGGUUAGAAGAUGAACAUGAGAAGUCUGAGAAACAGACAUGGCACUACUUCAUGGGAAAAUAAGAGGCAACUUAACUGCUAUGAUGGACAAAAGAGGAUCAUUCUGCAUUAACUAAUUUGGUAGAGGAGAAGCAGCCUCUUGGUCUUAAACAAAUGAGAAUGGGAUUGCCCUUCUUGCUGUUGCUGCAGGCUCAUGAUCUGGACCCAAACCCAGGACUCGAGCAGGACUGAAGGACACAUGCAAGUGGGAAGAAGCUGGAUCAUCUUUCUUCAUCUGCUCACUGCCUUCACAGAAUUUGCAAGUGUGAAAAAGUAUUUCAUCCCUUUACAGGAUUAGGAUGCGGAUUUGCCUCUCCCCGAGGUGCUGCUGGCUGGUUCACUGCCUGCUGGAGGGUGUCUCUAAGACCUGACUUAACCUGAAGCAUGCACUUCCUCAGGAGGUCUGCAGCAGGGCUGGAGGACUGCAAACACUGCAUCCCUUCCCUCGUGUCACCUGCUGCCACAUGACUGCAGUGUUUGUGCUGUGCUCUCAGCUCCCUCACCCUGAAAUGUUCCUCCUGGCGGUUUGUAAGGAGCUACCAUGGAGCAGGCUUUGCUUUUGGUAGCAAUAUUCCUUGUUGCCAUGCCGUUCAUGAAGAUGAUGGCUUUAUCCUUGCCUUUAUUCCUUUAUUCCAUUGGGACCAGCUGCUCUACCCACAGGCACCAAAAGUGGCAAAUCUUCCAUAACCUUUUUUUAAUUUUCAAUUGAAGCUCUACAUCAUGUGAACUUCUUGGGGUUUUUUGAGAGGUAAAGACUUUUUUUUUCUUUUUUUCUUUUUUUUUUUUUUUUUUGAGAAACAGCACCAAAUAAAACCCCAAACACCACAGCCCAACAAACCCAAAACUAACAGGAAAAAAAUCAAAACCCACACAUUGAACCCAAGCUGGAGAAACAACUGCACUGUGUGACUGAUACAAUCCAUGGGAGUACAAAGCAUUCCAGUCUGAUCUUGCACAUCCACUCCCUAUGCCUAUUAAUAGCUUUUAGGCAUGGGCAUAGACAUGGAAAUGGACAAGAGUAGUUCACCAUGCAAACAUUUAUCUGGGAGCCAUACUGUUUUCUAGAACUAAAGAUUUCAGUGUGAUAAAGUGCACAUUUUAAAGCAUUGGUGGAGAUAGGGGGGAUGUAACUGCCCUUAAACUGAGGUUGGGUUAGGCAUUCUCACAUCUUGGAGUCUGCCAGUAAAUAGCAAAGUAUAUGAGCAAUGGAAAUAUGUCCUUCUUAAUCUGUAAAAAGAAAAAGACUGUUUUGAAAAUCCAUCAAUCUUUCAAAUCAUCUUAAGGCAUAUUGAUCCUGGAUCAUCACAGGGGAAUUCAACAGGGGUGUUCUUCUUAGUGAUCUAAAAACAUAAAUGUGGUUGAAUACAUGCAAAACUGUAUCUUAUUCCAGUUGUCUUUAUUACUGCAAUAAAUGAUACCAACUCUCUCUUCCUACA
Haemorhous mexicanus (house finch) is the source of this 1927-nucleotide long non-coding RNA. RefSeq lists it as uncharacterized. NCBI's taxonomy places the organism in Eukaryota, Metazoa, Chordata, Aves, Passeriformes, Fringillidae. The transcript is spliced from 7 exons. The record is from RefSeq and is a predicted model, not a curated record.